This 100-nucleotide ribosomal RNA is filed under the name Erinaceus europaeus (western European hedgehog). The record is from RNAcentral. Lineage: Eukaryota; Metazoa; Chordata; Mammalia; Eulipotyphla; Erinaceidae.
GUCUAUUAGCCUGGACAUGCCAGAUCUCAUCUGAUCUUGGAAGCUAAGUAAUAUUGGUUCUGGCUAGUACAUGGAUAGGAGAAAUAAAUACUAGUAAACU